UUAGUUGGAGGGGUGAGAGGCCUAGUGGACAGGGUCAGGUUAGUUGAAGGGGUGAGAGGCCUAGUGGACAGGGUCAGGUUAGUUGGAGGGGUGAGAGGCCUAGUGGACAGGGUCAGGUUAGUUGGAGGGGUGAGAGGCCUAGUAGACAGGGUCAGGGUCAGGUUAGUUGAAGGGUGAGAGGCCUCGUGGACAGGGUCAGGUUAGUUGAAGGGGUGAGAGGCCUAGUGGACAGGGUCAGGUUAGUUGGAGGGGUGAGAGGCCUAGUGGACAGGGUCAGGUUAGUAGGAGGGGUGAGAGGCCUAGUAGACAGGGUCAGGGUCAGGUUAGUUGAAGGGGUGAGAGGCCUAGUGGACAGGGUCAGGGUCAGGUUAGUUGAAGGGGUGAGAGGCCAAGUGGACAGGGUCAGGGUCAGGUUAGUUGGAGGGGUGAGAGGCCAAGUGGACAGGGUCAGGGUCAGGUUAGUUGAAGGGGUGAGAGGCCUAGUGGACAGGGUCAGGGUCAGGUUAGUAGGAGGGGUGAGAGGCCUAGUGGACAGGGUCAGGUUUGUUGAAGGGGUGAGAGGCCUAGUGGACAGGGUCAGGUUUGUUGAAGGGGUGAGAGGCCUAGUGGACAGGGUCAGGUUAGUAGGAGGGGUGAGAGGCCUAGUGGACAGGGUCAGGGUCAGGUUAGUAGGAGGGGUGAGAGGCCUAGUGGACAGGGUCAGGUUUGUUGAAGGGGUGAGAGGCCUAGUGGACAGGGUCAGGUUUGUUGAAGGGGUGAGAGGCCUAGUGGACAGGGUCAGGUUAGUUGGAGGGGUGAGAGGCCUAGUGGACAGGGUCA
Molecule: long non-coding RNA, 819 nt
Organism: Oncorhynchus keta (chum salmon)
Lineage: Eukaryota; Metazoa; Chordata; Actinopteri; Salmoniformes; Salmonidae
Exons: 4
Source: RefSeq, a predicted model, not a curated record